Molecule: ribosomal RNA, 355 nt
Filed under: uncultured Syntrophaceae bacterium
Lineage: Bacteria; Pseudomonadati; Thermodesulfobacteriota; Syntrophia; Syntrophales; Syntrophaceae
Description: bacterial SSU rRNA
Rfam family: Bacterial small subunit ribosomal RNA
Source: RNAcentral
UACAUCGGUGACAGGUGGUGCAUGGUUGUCGUCAGCUCGUGUCGUGAGAUGUGGUUAAGUCCCGCAACGAGCGCAACCCUUGUCUUAAUUGCCAUCAUUUAGUUGGGCACUUUAAAGAGACUGCCGGUGUUAAGCCGGAGAAGGUGGGGAUGACGUCAAGUCCUCAUGGCCUUUAUGCCCAGGGCUACACACGUGCUACAAUGGGCGGUACAAAGAGAAGCAACCUCGCGAGGGUGAGCAAAUCUCAAAAAGCCGUUCUCAGUUCGGAUUGAAGUCUGCAACUCGACUUCAUGAAGUCGGAAUCGCUAGUAAUCGCGGAUCAGCAUGCCCGCGGUCGAAUACGUUCCCGGGCCUU